This 407-nucleotide ribosomal RNA is filed under the name uncultured bacterium. Its description in RNAcentral is "partial 16S ribosomal RNA". It matches the Rfam family "Bacterial small subunit ribosomal RNA", at positions 30 to 526 of the family's 1533-position model. The record is from RNAcentral.
AUUGAACGCUGGCGGCAGGCCUAACACAUGCAAGUCGAGCGGAGCGGCGGACGGGUGCGUAAUGCCUAGGAAUCUGCCUGGUAGUGGGGGAUAGCGUCCGGAAACGGGCGCUAAUACCGCAUACUAUCAGAUUAGCCUUGGUCGGAUUAGCUAGUUGGUGGGGGAAUGGCCUACCAAGGCGACGAUACGUACCUGGUCUGAGAGGAUGAUCCGCCACACUGGGACUGAGACAAGGCCCAGACUCCUACGGGAGGCAGCAGGGGGGAAUAUUGGACAAUGGGGGGAAGGCUGAGCCAGCAAUGCCGCGUGUGUGAAGAAGGCCUUAGGGUUGUAAAGCACUUUAAAGGGGGAGGCGUUACUCGCAGAAUAAGCACCGGCUAACUCUGUGCCAGCAGCCGCGGUAAUUC